UACAGAGGUGGCAAGCGUUGUUCGGAAUUACUGGGCGUAAAGGGCGCGUAGGCGGCCUUCUAAGUCAGACGUGAAAUCCCCAGGCUUAACUUGGGAACUGCGUCUGAUACUGGGAGGCUUGAGUGCGGGAGAGGGAUGUGGAAUUCCAGGUGUAGCGGUGAAAUGCGUAGAUAUCUGGAGGAACACCGGUGGCGAAGGCGGCAUCCUGGACCGGCAUUGACGCUGAGGAGCGAAAGCCAGGGGAGCAAACGGG
Molecule: ribosomal RNA, 253 nt
Filed under: uncultured bacterium
Lineage: Bacteria
Description: partial 16S ribosomal RNA
Rfam family: Bacterial small subunit ribosomal RNA
Source: RNAcentral